Molecule: ribosomal RNA, 315 nt
Filed under: uncultured bacterium
Lineage: Bacteria
Description: bacterial SSU rRNA
Rfam family: Bacterial small subunit ribosomal RNA
Source: RNAcentral
AACGAACGCUGGCGGCAUGCCUAACACAUGCAAGUCGAACGAAGUCUUCGGACUUAGUGGCGCACGGGUGCGUAACGCGUGGGAAUCUGCCCUUGGGUGCGGAAUAACUUCUCGAAAGGGAUGCUAAUACCGCAUAAUGUCGUAAGACCAAAGAUUUAUCGCCCAAAGGGAUGAGCCCGCGUAAGAUUAGCUAGUUGGUGGGGUAAAAGCCUUACCAAGGCGACGAUCUUUAGCUGGUCUGAGAGGAUGAUCAGCCACACUGGGACUGAGACACGGCCCAGACUCCUACGGGAGGCAACAGUGGGGAAUAUUGGA